AGGACGAACGCUGGCGGCGUGCUUAACACAUGCAAGUCGAGCGGAAAGGCCCUUCGGGGUACUCGAGCGGCGAACGGGUGAGUAACACGUGAGUAAUCUGCCUCUAGCUCUGGGAUAGCUCCGGGAAAACCGGGAUUAAUACCGGAUACGACCACUUUAGACAUCUGUUGUGGUGGAAAGAAUUUUGGCUAGGGAUGAGCUCGCGGCCUAUCAGCUUGUUGGUGGGGUAACGGCCUACCAAGGCGACGACGGGUAGCCGGCCUGAGAGGGCGACCGGCCACACUGGGACUGAGACACGGCCCAGACUCCUACGGGAGGCAGCAGUGGGGAUAUUGCGCAAUGGGCGAAAGCCUGACGCAGCGACGCCGCGUGGGGGAUGAAGGCCUUCGGGUUGCGAACCCUUUCAGCAGGGACGAAGCGAAAGUGACGGUACCUGCAGAAGAAGCGCCGGCUAACUACGUGCCAGCAGCCGC
This 473-nucleotide ribosomal RNA is filed under the name uncultured bacterium. RNAcentral describes it as "SSU rRNA". It matches the Rfam family "Bacterial small subunit ribosomal RNA", at positions 26 to 518 of the family's 1533-position model. The record is from RNAcentral.